UCUAAUGUGACAGAAUAGUGUGGUGGAUUUAAACCCCAUAUAUAAAUUUAAAAAUUUCUUUAGAA
Molecule: transfer RNA, 65 nt
Filed under: Stenus boops
Lineage: Eukaryota; Metazoa; Arthropoda; Insecta; Coleoptera; Staphylinidae
Description: tRNA-Leu
Source: RNAcentral